This 253-nucleotide ribosomal RNA is filed under the name uncultured bacterium. Its description in RNAcentral is "partial 16S ribosomal RNA". It matches the Rfam family "Bacterial small subunit ribosomal RNA", at positions 524 to 776 of the family's 1533-position model. The record is from RNAcentral.
UACGGGGGGGGCAAGCGUUGUUCGGAAUUACUGGGCGUAAAGGGCUCGUAGGCGGCCAACUAAGUCAGACGUGAAAUCCCUCGGCUCAACCGGGGAACUGCGUCUGAUACUGGGCGGCUUGAAUUCGGGAGAGGAAUGCGGAAUUCCAGGUGUAGCGGUGAAAUGCGUAGAUAUCUGGAGGAACACCGGUGGCGAAGGCGGCAUUCUGGACCGACAUUGACGCUGAGGCGCGAAAGCCAGGGGAGCAAACGGG